CCCUUAGAUGUUCUGGGCCGCACGCGCGCUACACUGAUGCAUUCAACAAGUUUCUCUUCCUUGGCCGAGAGGCCUGGGCAAUCUUUUGAACGUGCAUCGUGAUAGGGAUAGAUUAUUGCAAUUUUUAAUCUUGAACGAGGAAUUCCUAGUAAACGCAGUUCAUCAAACUGCAUUGAUUACGUCCCUGCCCUUUGUACACACCGCCCGUCGCACCUACCGAUUGAAUGGUCCGGUGAAGCCUCGGGAUUGUGGCUGGUGUCCUUUAUUGGGUGCUAGUCGCGAGAACUUGUCUAAACCUUAUCAUUUAGAGGAAGGUGAGGUCGUAACA
RNAcentral lists this ribosomal RNA (328 nucleotides) under uncultured eukaryote. RNAcentral describes it as "partial 18S ribosomal RNA". It matches the Rfam family "Eukaryotic small subunit ribosomal RNA", at positions 1470 to 1796 of the family's 1831-position model. The record is from RNAcentral.